AGUUGCCUACGGGACGCAGCAGUGAGGAAUAUUGGUCAAUGGGCGCGAGCCUGAACCAGCCAAGUCGCGUGAGGGAAGACGGUCCUAUGGAUUGUAAACCUCUUUUGUCGGGGAGCAAAAGACGCCACGCGUGGCGUUCCGAGAGUACCCGAAGAAAAAGCAUCGGCUAACUCCGUGCCAGCAGCCGCGGUAAUACGUAGGUGGCAAGCGUUGUCCGGAAUUACUGGGUGUAAAGGGAGCGCAGGCGGGAAGCCAAGUCAGC
This 262-nucleotide ribosomal RNA is filed under the name uncultured bacterium. RNAcentral's name for it is "partial 16S ribosomal RNA". It matches the Rfam family "Bacterial small subunit ribosomal RNA", at positions 333 to 592 of the family's 1533-position model. The record is from RNAcentral.